Molecule: ribosomal RNA, 488 nt
Filed under: uncultured bacterium
Lineage: Bacteria
Description: partial 16S ribosomal RNA
Rfam family: Bacterial small subunit ribosomal RNA
Source: RNAcentral
GACGAACGCUGGCGGCGUGCUUAACACAUGCAAGUCGAACGCGCCUGUCCUCUGGGUUUCUGGGGGGUGGGUGAGUGGCGAACGGGUGAGUAACACGUGAGUAACCUGCCCCCUUCUUCGGGAUAACGGUCUGAAAGGGCUGCUAAUACCGGGUAUUCACUGGUCUCCGCAUGGGGUCUGGUGGAAAGGUUUUUUUCUGGUGGGGGAUGGGCUCGCGGCCUAUCAGCUUGUUGGUGGGGUGAUGGCCCACCAAGGCUUUGACGGGUAGCCGGCCUGAGAGGGUGACCGGUCACAUUGGGACUGAGAUACGGCCCAGACUGCUACGGGAGGCAGCGGUGGGGAGUAUUGCACAAUGGGCGCAAGCCUGAUGCAGCGACGCCGCGUGAGGGAUGGAGGCCUUCGGGUUGUGAACCUCUUUCGCCCGUGGUCAAGCCGCGACGUGGGUCGUGGUGAGGGUAGUGGGUAAAGAAGCGCCGGCUAACUACGUG